This 1188-nucleotide long non-coding RNA is filed under the name Oryctolagus cuniculus (rabbit). RNAcentral's name for it is "lncRNA (ENSOCUG00000033991.1)". Lineage: Eukaryota; Metazoa; Chordata; Mammalia; Lagomorpha; Leporidae. The record is from RNAcentral.
CUUGUUACAUCAUACAUCCUUUGUAAACAGUCAAAAGGAGGAAAACAUGUGUCCAGAGCCUUCUGUACCCACCCAUGUGUUUGUCGUGGUGAGCACUCAUUUUCCCCAUGGAGCAGAGACUACCUGGGACCAUCUCGUGGCUCCUGCUCGCUUGCGUUUUCCUCUGCUGGUCUUGGGCUAUCAUUAUCAUAUAUGUCACAUAUUCCAUAAUAAGCUCAUUAAUACCGUCUUGCAAUUGUUUAUGUAAUUGUCUUUGCAGUCAGUUAACAGGAGAAAACAGAGCACAUAUAUUUAUUCUCUCUCCGGCACUUGCCUGCGGAACGACCUUGACGGAUGUUCUUGGUUUCUUCGUGUGAAUUUGAGUUAUGGUGUUGUCACUUCCUUUCAGCCAGCAGAGCUCCCUUUAGUGUUUGGGGACAUGGAUUUGUCUCUGCACGCUGCUCCGGGGAGAGCCAGCCCUUCUGCGGCACCAGGUGGACCACGGAGUCGGGGGGGACUACUUUCUGGGACCAGGCCAUUGGCAUGGAGACCCGAGCUCAGCGAAGCAGACAAUGACCCAGGAUCUGCAAGGGGAGAGCGUGAUCCCUCCAACAGGCGUGGAGAGGGCAGGUCCACGAAGGCGGCCACAGCUGACAGUCCACUGAGAGUGCGCACUCCAGGAGGUCAUGGUGAGGGAAAGGGACUGUGCAGGCCUGGGGCAGGGAAUUCUGGGAAGGGGUAAACGAAACAAGAGGGAGGCAAGUUAGGGCCAAGGUGCAGCAGGCCCAGUGGACAGGCUGGAGAGUCCAGCCUCUGUUUUUUCUAGAGUUGUGCAGGAAGUGUGGCAAAGUUGUAGGGGCCACUCAGGACUUCCUGCAACCAGGUGGAGGCGUGGUCUGAGGAUAGAGGCAUGGUGCAGAGUGGAGGCAGGGUCCCAGGGUGGAGGCGUGGUCCUGGAGUGGAGGUGUAGUGCAGAGUGGAGGCGUGGUGCAGGGUGGAGGCGUGGUCCCAAGGUGGAGUUGUGGUCCUGGGAUGCAGGCAUGGUCCCAGGGUGAGGUGUGGUCCCGGGGUCGAUUUGUGGUCCUGGGGUGGAGGUGUGGUCCCAGGGUGGAGACGUGGUCCCAAAAUGAAGGCAUGGUCCUGUGUUGUUGGUGUGGUCCCAGGGUGGAGGCGUGGUCCCAGGGUUGAGGCGAGGUCCCAGAGUGCAGG